RNAcentral lists this ribosomal RNA (607 nucleotides) under Gaetanus variabilis. RNAcentral's name for it is "eukaryotic LSU rRNA". It matches the Rfam family "Eukaryotic large subunit ribosomal RNA", at positions 86 to 571 of the family's 3401-position model. The record is from RNAcentral. Lineage: Eukaryota; Metazoa; Arthropoda; Copepoda; Calanoida; Aetideidae.
AUGGCGAAUGAAACGGGAACAGCCCAUCGCGUAACUGCAGGUCAUCUUGGCCUCGCGGAAUGUCGCGUUUGGGAGAGUCUCAUCGGGAGCCGGACGGCCAGUCAAAGUCCAACUUGACAGUCGCCAUUGCCCAUAGAGGGUGAUAGGCCCGUAAGGCGGCCGUCUGUUUCCGCUGACUUUUCCCCAGAGUCGGGUUGCUUGGGAGUGCAGCCCAAAGUGCGACGUAAACUCGUCGUAAGGCUAAAUAUGACCCCGAGACCGAUAGCAAACAAGUACCGUGAGGGAAGAUUGAAAAGAACUUUGAAGAGAGAGUUCAAUAGUACGUGAAACUGUGUGGUGGUAAACGGAGGGGUUCUCGAAGUCUCUGCGGGGAACUCAACCUUGGUGUCAGGCAGUCAGGGUGUGUCCGAUCAGCAAUGACGGUGCUCCCUGUCCGGCCAGGCUCUCGGGUGCAUUUCCCCCGCAGUUUACGGCAGGAACCGUUUGGCGUGGACCGAAGGCCUCGGGUGAAGUUGUCGGUUCUGCUGGCAGCCCUGUGUGUCCUGGCUCCACGCUCGACGGGUACGUGAGAGGACUCGUAUAGCGAGCAACGCUCUGUUGCGGUUCU